CAGGAAAGUUGUGCUACUAGAGCGGCUUGGGUGUCCGUGGGGGCCGAGACGAGUUUGUUCUGUUUGGAUACUUCUGUAGAGCUGUCAUGAGGACAUUGCUGGCAACCUAAGAACUGGAGUCCAAAGCAGUGCAAAGCUAAACGGCUUUGUGCUGUCUGCACGUGUGCUGCAUUCAGGAUUCCGUGAGACUGAACCCUAAUCCCAUAGGGUAUCAGGUAUGAGGCUCCCAGAACUCAAUCCCCAGGACUUUUGUCUUUAUUACUCCAUUUGUCUUGCUGCAAUACAACUUGGAGACACUUUUGCCAUUGUGUUUCUUCCUCUUCUGGGAGACCAGAUUAAAGCUGGGUGAAUGGAAAUUGUCUCUUGUGGAUAGGAUCGUAUCACGGCACACACUUUUUCCUGCCUCCUGUGGC
This is a long non-coding RNA of Harpia harpyja (harpy eagle), 413 nucleotides long. RefSeq lists it as uncharacterized. The record is from RefSeq and is a predicted model, not a curated record. The transcript has 3 exons. Lineage: Eukaryota; Metazoa; Chordata; Aves; Accipitriformes; Accipitridae.